GCACGAAGUGCGGGGCAGCGGCCGGGAGCUGCGGCCGCUCGGGUUCGGGCUCCGCGUUCCCCGCUCAGCGUGAACCGCUCCGUGCCCGUCCCGGUGGGAGCCGCCCGGCCGCAGCCCCGCACGGUGAGCGAUGUAACCGGCUGGCUUCGUGCGGGAACGCCGAGGAGCCGGGACGGCCCGCUGCCUACGCUGGCAGCAAGGCGCUGACUCGGCAGGAAUUGGCUUCUCGUAGUAAACGCACGUUACUCUAAGACCAAUCGAGUCCUCUGGCUGGCGAGCAUUUGGAAACCGGGGCAGCAGGUACGCACCCGCCUCCCUGCCUGGCCAGCUCGUUCCCAGCGCACGGAGCUUGCUGGGUGCGGCAGCGAGCUGCGGGGUGGUUUGUAGGACAGAUGCUCGCGUGUGUGCGCGACGUGAGCGGCAGCGGGGGCUGUGCUGGGCCGGACUGGGGAGCUGAGGCACUCACCGAGACCGCGCUGAGCAUCAUUCGGGAGCCGUGAGUGGAGCGGAGUAUUUAACCCAGCUUCUCUUGCAAAGCGCAUUGCAGGAGAGAUCUUCAAAAAGAAGUAAGGGAGAAAGGCUCGUUUCACCUGGAAAGAAGACAAAGGAACGCUGAAAUGAGUUUUGUUCGUGUGCGUAGGAAGGACGCCAGCCUCAGUUAAAGCCGUGCAUCCCUCCCCAGGAGCAGAGCGAUCCCUGCAAGCAGCAAAACCAAACUCUCUGUUUUCGAGUUCCGUUCGGCACCAGUUCCAUCUCAUUCAGCCACCUGCUGAGCACGAAAGCAGCCUGCAGCCACAGAAUCUGCUCUGCCCGUGGCAAACGGAACACAUUUUUCCUCUGCACAAAUCCGUACAUUCUAAUUAUGAACUCCUCAUUGUUAAGGCGUCGGCCACGUGUUCUCAUAAUCACAUACAGGGUCAUAUUCAGUCAUGUAUCUAUCCAACAUUUUGGCUGAGGUUAUGUUUAAAACAAAAGCGAGGACUGCAAGGCACUUGCCCCUGUGUUCCGGCCAUAAACCUCGGCCUGUACUUGGCACACCUCGCAGCAUUGCCUUGCCAGUGUUUGUCAUGUUGCGUAUUGAAUUUUGUUGCAUUAUGGGUACUGAUUCCCAGGUCAGUCAGCACGGGUUUACGUUAGCAGCACGACCAAAAAAUGUCCUGGAAGGCAGAAAAUCAGAGGUGCUGUAAGUGACACCCUGCUCAGUGGAAGCAAAGGAAUCGCUGGACGGUGAAGCUGGAUUUUUGCAGCAGGAAUUAUCAAACGAGGGCACUUGCACAGAGGUGACGGAGGCUCCUUGGUCACCGGAAUUCUGGCUUAUGUACAAACAAAGCAGAAGGCUUCUGCGGAGUUAGUCCUGAACAUGACGAAACCACGUCAAUAUUCACAAAACAAAGAACAGGAAAGCCAAAUUUUCCUUCCCUAAGGCAGCCGCACCCGGCAGAGAACUAACACCACUUUGGAGACUGGAAGGAGGAUCAUGCAUAUGGAUUGCUGCCCUGAAUCCGGGUCUGCUUAGCACUAGCCAGCACUUAAGGACGCUAGCUGCUUGGCAGACUGCUCUCUGAAAUGUGAGGUAUCCAGAAGAAAAAAAAAUAGGACAAUAAUACUUGAGCUGGCAGCCAGCAUAUCACCCUUCUGGAGAAGUAAACCGAGCAUCACCUGCAACUGCAAAGCAGCACACAAAGCUGCCUCCUCAGCCACCCCCGGCGUGGCUCUGCCUGCAGCCCAUCAGCCUUGACAAUGGAUAUGCAACGUGCCUGGCCUAUUGAGUAAAAGCAAUAUUAAAAGUUUUAUAGUCGAGAAGCGUGUUAACUCUUAGCUUGUGCAGUGCCGGAGUUUCGUAAGUUUUCUACUUCUAUCAGUGCGUUCUACUUAUGGCAGAAAGCCGAGGUUCUCAGCGCCUCUUUGCUUCUGUCUUCAGUAGUCUGACCAGUUAUCGUCCGGGUCCUCAGCUCCCUCAGCUGGAUGUCAGGGGUGGGAAGGUUCCCCCACACCCCCACAAUUCAGGAGGAACGAGUUAGUGGCCUGCUGCUCUACCUGGCCUGCCACAAGUCCAUGGGCCGGAUGGGGCCCACCCCAGGGUGCUGGCGGAGGCGAUCACGAAGCUGCUCUCCGUCAUUUGUCAGCAGUCCUGGGCAGCCAGAGAGGUCCCAGGUGACUGGGGGCUGGGCAGUGUGAUGCCCAUCUACAAGAAGGGUCGUAAGGAGGAUCUGGGGAACCGCAGGCCUGCCAGCCUGACACGGGGAUCAUGGAAGGUCAUGGAGCAGAUUGUCUUACGUGAGAUCACACGGCACGUGUGUGACAACCAGGGGAUCGUGCCCAGCCAGCACAGGUUCAUGAAAGGUCCUGCUUGACAGGAAUUAUUAAAGGAGGGCACUUGCACAGUGCUGACGGAGGUAGGACCACCCUUGUCAUGCCGGUUUGGGCCUCUGUUAAUGAAUUAUUCUGCAGAAUUUCCAUUUGGGAUCCAUUUUGCCAUUUGUAGGGUAAACCACAGAAGGCAGCGGGAGGGAGCACGCACUCACAUGCCUAAGGAAGGGAACCAGAUGUCACUCGAAAGUGGGGGCAGAGUGCCAGCGGUGCCAAGGGGAGAAGCUGCACUGGAAUUUAGGUCUUGCCAGCCUUCCUCGUGUGUCGGUACCAAACAGCCCCAGCAGCAGUUCUCAUUAUUCUCUUACAGAUCUGACCACUUAGGAUUUGGUGAAGCACUUUUCUGCUUCUCAACGCGCCCCUGGUGGAUAACAGUGUGAGGCACAGCCUUGCCAGGUGCCCUGUGCUGCGUUCCACUGCAGAGCUCUCCCAGCCUGUCUGGCCCUGCCUGCCCUCUUUGCCAGCAGCAGCCCCUUUGGCUGGGACACUGAUGACAAAGUGCACCUGUAUAACGAUGAAGGCUUGCUUUUUUUUUCACCUGCUGUGCAAAAGACACAAGACAAAAGCAGCUAUGGAACUGCCCUCACCAGAAGUGCCUUGCCAACACAGAUAAACACCUUAGCUCUGUGAUAGCACAAGGCUUUUUCGCUCUUCUAGAAUUGCUUGCUGCUAUUUCAUCUCACCCAGCUUUGAUUUUAGCAGUGAGAACGAGUGAUAUAAGUUCCGCAGAACAGCCGCUUUUACUCCCUUCCACGAGGAAUAAAUCUGCUUCAUACAAAUGGCAUUAUGAGUCCUCACCCUGCCACAGAGCCUGGUACAGAGGGGAGGGCUGGCGCCCAGGGACACCUGAGCAGGAGCAGCACUCGCAAGCCUUCUCCUACAUCAAGUACAUCUUCAGUUUUGGGGUAUUACUCAUGAUUUUAUCCUAAAUGCUUUCAUGUACCUUUAUUAUUACAUCUUGUAUCGUGGUCAAUCUUAGCUUUUUCUCUAAGGAGCUGUUGUUACUGCUGGUGGCUGUGCUGCCUUGGUGGCUGCUGCUCUGCGAACUCCUGCUGUUGUGGUUAAAACACAGAUAAUGAACCAGCCAGGAGACACGCAGGGAAGGCACGGACACGGCGGGGACUUUUCAGUGGCAAACCAGAACCCCGAGUCUCACCGAUGUCACUGCGUUCCGCUGCUAAGUCGCUAAGUCGCUCUUCAUCUUUUUUCAGCUUAUUGUUUUAGUUUUGCAUGUCUAAGGGGCAUACCAAGUUAAUUCAGUGAGUUCUGUUCUGACGAGACUCCAGUGAGCUUGCAGAAGAGCAGUUGUACAAACCCACCUGAUACAGAUGAUUUUUCAGGGGGAUGGGAUUUUUUUAAGUGCAUGUUUGUAACACUACCAGUGCUAGUUCCCUCUGCACGUUGCUAGGGGUUUGCUGUACAAGUCUUACACAGACUGCUUGAUUUAAGCUGUAUGGGGCAAAGGGUUUCUGUCAAUGUACAAAGGCUUUGGACCAACCUGGAUGCAAAUGGGAAGUGCCUUUUUAACUGCCUUUACAGAAGUUGAACAGUGUGUCAUUGCCGUGUGAGCAGUGUUAGCUUACACUUAGCACUAGCCAGGAUUUAGGGACGCUAGUUGCUUGGCAGACUGCUAUCUGAAAUGUAAGGUAUCUACA
Molecule: long non-coding RNA, 4025 nt
Organism: Numida meleagris (helmeted guineafowl)
Lineage: Eukaryota; Metazoa; Chordata; Aves; Galliformes; Numididae
Exons: 3
Source: RefSeq, a predicted model, not a curated record